RNAcentral lists this ribosomal RNA (804 nucleotides) under Salmonella enterica. RNAcentral's name for it is "partial 23S ribosomal RNA". It matches the Rfam family "Bacterial large subunit ribosomal RNA", at positions 711 to 1516 of the family's 2925-position model. The record is from RNAcentral. Lineage: Bacteria; Pseudomonadati; Pseudomonadota; Gammaproteobacteria; Enterobacterales; Enterobacteriaceae.
AGACCCGAAACCCGGUGAUCUAGCCAUGGGCAGGUUGAAGGUUGGGUAACACUAACUGGAGGACCGAACCGACUAAUGUUGAAAAAUUAGCGGAUGACCUGUGGCUGGGGGUGAAAGGCCAAUCAAACCGGGAGAUAGCUGGUUCUCCCCGAAAGCUAUUUAGGUAGCGCCUCGUGAAUUCAUCUCCGGGGGUAGAGCACUGUUUCGGCUAGGGGGCCAUCCCGGCUUACCAACCCGAUGCAAACUGCGAAUACCGGAGAAUGUUAUCACGGGAGACACACGGCGGGUGCUAACGUCCGUCGUGAAGAGGGAAACAACCCAGACCGCCAGCUAAGGUCCCAAAGUCAUGGUUAAGUGGGAAACGAUGUGGGAAGGCCCAGACAGCCAGGAUGUUGGCUUAGAAGCAGCCAUCAUUUAAAGAAAGCGUAAUAGCUCACUGGUCGAGUCGGCCUGCGCGGAAGAUGUAACGGGGCUAAACCAUGCACCGAAGCUGCGGCAGCGACGCUGAUGCGUUGUUGGGUAGGGGAGCGUUCUGUAAGCCUGCGAAGGUGGCCUGUGAGGGUUGCUGGAGGUAUCAGAAGUGCGAAUGCUGACAUAAGUAACGAUAAAGCGGGUGAAAAGCCCGCUCGCCGGAAGACCAAGGGUUCCUGUCCAACGUUAAUCGGGGCAGGGUGAGUCGACCCCUAAGGCGAGGCCGAAAGGCGUAGUCGAUGGGAAACGGGUUAAUAUUCCCGUACUUGGUGUUACUGCGAAGGGGGGACGGAGAAGGCUAUGUUGGCCGGGCGACGGUUGUCCCGGUUUAAG